UACGAAGGGUGCAAGCGUUACUCGGAAUUACUGGGCGUAAAGCGUGCGUAGGUGGUUUGUUAAGUCUGAUGUGAAAGCCCUGGGCUCAACCUGGGAAUGGCAUUGGAUACUGGCAAGCUAGAGUGCGGCAGAGGGUAGUGGAAUUCCUGGUGUAGCAGUGAAAUGCGUAGAUAUCAGGAGGAACAUCCGUGGCGAAGGCGACUGCCUGGGCCAGCACUGACACUGAGGCACGAAAGCGUGGGGAGCAAACAGGAUUAGAUACCCUGGUAGUCCACGCCCUAAACGAUGCGAACUGGAUGUUGGAUUCAACUUGGAAUUCAGUAUCGAAGCUAACGCGUUAAGUUCGCCGCCUGGGGAGUACGGUCGCAAGACUGAA
RNAcentral lists this ribosomal RNA (376 nucleotides) under uncultured bacterium. RNAcentral describes it as "bacterial SSU rRNA". It matches the Rfam family "Bacterial small subunit ribosomal RNA", at positions 524 to 898 of the family's 1533-position model. The record is from RNAcentral.